This 253-nucleotide ribosomal RNA is filed under the name uncultured bacterium. RNAcentral describes it as "partial 16S ribosomal RNA". It matches the Rfam family "Bacterial small subunit ribosomal RNA", at positions 524 to 776 of the family's 1533-position model. The record is from RNAcentral.
CACGAAGGGUGCAAACGUUGCUCGGAAUUAUUGGGCGUAAAGCGCACGUAGGCGGCUUAGCAAGUCGGAAGUGAAAUCCCACGGCUCAACCAUGGAAGUGCUUUCGAAACUGCUGAGCUUGAGUACGAAAGAGGAUCGCGGAAUUCCCGGUGUAGAGGUGAAAUUCGUAGAUAUCGGGAGGAACACCAGUGGCGAAGGCGGCGAUCUGGGUCGAUACUGACGCUGAGGUGCGAAAGCGUGGGGAGCAAACAGG